AGUGAACGCUGGCGGUAGGCCUAACACAUGCAAGUCGAACGGCAGCACAGUAAGAGCUUGCUCUUACGGGUGGCGAGUGGCGGACGGGUGAGGAAUACAUCGGAAUCUACUUUUUCGUGGGGGAUAACGUAGGGAAACUUACGCUAAUACCGCAUACGACCUACGGGUGAAAGCAGGGGAUCUUCGGACCCUGCGCGAUUGAAUGAGCCGAUGUCGGAUUAGCUAGUUGGCGGGGUAAAGGCCCACCAAGGCGACGAUCCGUAGCUGGUCUGAGAGGAUGAUCAGCCACACUGGAACUGAGACACGGUCCAGACUCCUACGGGAGGCAGCAGUGGGGAAUAUUGGACAAUGGGCGCAAGCCUGAUCCAGCCAUACCGCGUGGGUGAAGAAGGCCUUCGGGUUGUAAAGCCCUUUUAUUGGGAAAGAAAAGCAGCAGGUUAAUACCCCGCUGUUCUGACGGUACCCAAAGAAUAAGCACCGGCUAACUUCGUG
This 492-nucleotide ribosomal RNA is filed under the name uncultured bacterium. RNAcentral's name for it is "partial 16S ribosomal RNA". It matches the Rfam family "Bacterial small subunit ribosomal RNA", at positions 29 to 507 of the family's 1533-position model. The record is from RNAcentral.